This is a long non-coding RNA of Bos taurus (domestic cattle), 957 nucleotides long. NCBI's taxonomy places the organism in Eukaryota, Metazoa, Chordata, Mammalia, Artiodactyla, Bovidae. The record is from Ensembl.
UGGCAGGCGGCCCGCAGGCGGCUGUGGGCGGGAGCUCGGCCCUCCGGGUCCGCCCGCGCCCGGGAGCCCGCGGCCAGGGGACUCUGCCAAGGAGGGGGCGGCGGCGGCGGCGGGGCCGGGAACGCGUGGCCUGGCCGGGCUGAGGAAACGGCAACCCCUCCCGGCAACCCCUCCCGGCCCUCGUACAGCGCCUCCAGGGACUUAAACUUGCCUCAGCCACGUGAUUACCCUGAUCUGCCUGCUGAGAGAUGAGCAAAGGUGGAGAGGGACUAGAUCUCAGCAGAGACAGCAGUUCCUGAGCGCCCACCCCCCAGCGCUUCCAGAAAUGCAAUGCAACAUGGACCAGCCUGUGAGCAUUUGCUCCUCCUCAGGAACCAAACCUUAUCUUACCAAUGGCACCAACCCUGUAUUUAUGCUAUAAAUGAGUGAUCUUGCCCAAAGAAAAGCCAACUCCCUGCAACAGUACUAGGGGUGUGACUUUUGUUCCUCCACCCACCCAAUUCUCUGCCAGUGCCCUGUGCUUUUCCUGUCAAGCAUCAAAUCUUUGUUUGACUGGGUCACUAGAUUGGAUACUCCUUGUUAACAUAGAUGAUGUCUACCUUGUUGUCUAUUACAUCGCUGUUACCUAUACAAUAAACAGUUGUUGAAUGAAUGAAUGUGAACCUAUGAUAGCUAAUUCUCUAGGUGGAGUAUUUGAUACAUGCUUCAUUGUCACAGUGUUUUACAAAUUGGAAAAGAGUUUCAGCCAUUUGCAUAUCUUUCACCAAGAUCUUGAUAAGUGGUAGAGCUGUGUUAGGAACUGGUGUGUGACUUUGGAGUAGUGCUUAACUGGCAUGAGACUGCCUGUUUGCUGGCACCCAGUAGAAACCUCUGGCUCCCCCUCGCCAAAUGGGUGAGGUGGGUUAGAUGAGAUAUGUAGGCAGACAUGGGCAAACUGGCCUGGUCCCAUGAUAGAGC